GAUGAACGCUGGCGGCGUGCCUAAUACAUGCAAGUCGAGCGAACAGACGAGGAGCUUGCUCCUCUGACGUUAGCGGCGGACGGGUGAGUAACACGUGGAUAACCUACCUAUAAGACUGGGAUAACUUCGGGAAACCGGAGCUAAUACCGGAUAAUAUAUUGAACCGCAUGGUUCAAUAGUGAAAGACGGUUUUGCUUUCACUUAUAGAUGGAUCCGCGCCGCAUUAGCUAGUUGGUAAGGUAACGGCUUACCAAGGCAACGAUGCGUAGCCGACCUGAGAGGGUGAUCGGCCCCACUGGAACUGAGACACGGUCCAGACUCCUACGGGAGGCAGCAGUAGGGAAUCUUCCGCAAUGGGCGAAAGCCUGACGGAGCAACGCCGCGUGAGUGAUGAAGGUCUUCGGAUCGUAAAACUCUGUUAUUAGGGAAGAACAAAUGUGUAAGUAACUAUGCACGUCUUGACGGUACCUAAUCAGAAAGCCACGGCUAACUACGUG
This 497-nucleotide ribosomal RNA is filed under the name uncultured bacterium. RNAcentral's name for it is "partial 16S ribosomal RNA". It matches the Rfam family "Bacterial small subunit ribosomal RNA", at positions 28 to 507 of the family's 1533-position model. The record is from RNAcentral.